AUGCUUGGCGGCAAGAGUCCGAAUUGUAGGAUCGUCGGCGUUGGUGUGCACUACACCAACGAAGAUGAACCUCCCCAGAUGGCAGCAGUCCUGCAGUUGUGCGUCGAGGAGCUCUGCUUGGUGUACCACAUCGCAGCGGCCACAAAAUGGCCCAAGCGCCUGACCGAGAUGCUGCAGCAUGAGAAGUCGGUCAUAUUUGCCGGUUUCAACAUUGAAAGCGACAAAGAGAAGCUGAAGUUGUCCGGUAUGGAGAUCAACCCCAACAAGUUCAUCGACAUUCAGCGCAAGUGGAGAGUUCCAUACACCGGAAAAGAGUACGACUCCUUGAUAGAUGUUGCAGCCACCGUCAUCCACCCAUUCUACAAAGGCAUGAAGAAGAAGAUCAACACACAGGAAGACUACAAACUGUGGGGGACCAGCCCGCUACAGGACAACCUCAUCGAGUACGCAUGA
This 453-nucleotide ribosomal RNA is filed under the name Triticum aestivum (bread wheat). RNAcentral describes it as "partial small subunit ribosomal RNA". Lineage: Eukaryota; Viridiplantae; Streptophyta; Magnoliopsida; Poales; Poaceae. The record is from RNAcentral.